Molecule: long non-coding RNA, 64 nt
Filed under: Coturnix japonica (Japanese quail)
Lineage: Eukaryota; Metazoa; Chordata; Aves; Galliformes; Phasianidae
Description: lncRNA (ENSCJPG00005002611.1)
Source: RNAcentral
CUGCCCCAUAAGUGCCUUCAGGUGCCCCAUAAGUGCCUUCCAAGUGCCCCAUAAGUGCUAUGGG